AUGUUCCUUAAUUUGAUCUCACCUUCCCUGCUUAAACAUAUGUCAUUGCUCGAUUUGAUUAUUGUAUUAGUGUCUCUUAAGUUUGCUGGAACGCUUGAUGUUUCCUUUGAAUUUAGAAGAAGAGGUUCCAGCCAUAAGAUUCUUAAGUUCGCUGGCUCUGCGGCCGCAUCAUGGCAAGACGGCCACAAGGCAGUUGUUGCUUCCAGGCGCACAAAGGCCACUGAUCGGAUCAGCGUGAAGAAACACGUUCAGAUCGCCGCUGCAAGCCUCGCCUCAUCAACAGAUCAACCUCUGCACCUACAUCCACUUCGACAGGCCGUCAGUCAAAGCAGAAAAUGCAUGAUGUUAUCUGCAUCAAUGAUGAUAGCGGAUCUUCUGAAUCACUUCCUCAGCUUAACAACUUAA
Molecule: ribosomal RNA, 405 nt
Filed under: Triticum aestivum (bread wheat)
Lineage: Eukaryota; Viridiplantae; Streptophyta; Magnoliopsida; Poales; Poaceae
Description: partial small subunit ribosomal RNA
Source: RNAcentral